Molecule: long non-coding RNA, 1221 nt
Filed under: Rhinopithecus bieti (black snub-nosed monkey)
Lineage: Eukaryota; Metazoa; Chordata; Mammalia; Primates; Cercopithecidae
Description: lncRNA (ENSRBIG00000046050.1)
Source: RNAcentral
UUGGCAUUGAGGACACGCUGGGCGCCUCCCGCCUCUGUCCGGCAGGUGUGCUCAGCCUUGCCAGGUGUGCUCAACCUUGCCAAGUUGUUACACUGUUUCCAAGACAUUGCAACAUUGUUGCCAUCAAGUAACAGUGAGAUAAAGAAGACAGUACUGCAAGCUACCACAACCAGGGGCUGGCCUUCUUCUAAAUAAUUGGGGAGUGAGAAGCUUGUGGGCCAUGGAGCUCUGGGAAGCUUCCAGAGCGUCAGGCUUGAGUGUCUUCUAGACUGAAGCCCACUGUGACCAGGGCAAGCUCCCCGACCAACUCCGACUCUUGCUGUUUCCAAGGUUCCAGCUUUUUGUUUUCCAGAUGCUAUGUGCAGACCACGCAGUGACCCAUUCGUCCUUGCUGACGACAUGUUUCCCGUGUGAGACUCUGUGUCUCCCGAGAAGCAGACACCAAGACAGGAUGAGAGACGGAUUUUAUUGGGAAAAACACCUGCAGGAGAAAACAGGUGAGCACUGGCGGCAGCUGGGAGCACAGACUGCCGCGGGGUCUGAGCCUGCAGGAAGGGGUACGUCCUGGGGGCUGCAGUGGGGGCAUCAGCUGGGAGGUGCUGGGGCCACCCAGGCGGCUCACACUGCUCAGCAGGGCAGGCCUGCAAACGGUCCGCGUGUGAGCCACUGGUGACGUGAGGUCGGCUGUGCUGCCCCUCGUGGAAGCUGGCCAGCCCAGGCAUGGGGGCACUUUACUUCCCAGAACCGGCCACCGUUACUCCCGCCAAAGCUAGCCCUCAGCAGGCUCCCAUGCCUCCCAGGACAGGGCCUGCCUUGGUGUCCCCUGCACCCAGGACUGGUAGGAAGUCUGUGGGAAGCGUGGGCGAUUCCCGCAGCAGCAGCGGGGCCGUUGAUGAGGCUGCCGUGGCUGGGGGUGCGGGAGGCUCAGUUACAUGGCCUCCACUCACUCUGCAAAACAAAGCCCCAGUUCUUGCCCUCGGUGCCCUCUGUGGCGGGGCCCCACCACCUCUGACCUUGUCUCCUGAGCUUCCUUCCCCUGCACAGGGCUGUCCUGGCCGUGCCAUGCACCUUGUCACCCCAGGCCUGAUGCCAGCUGGCUGUGUCACUGACUCCCAUCUGCAGCUUCCUCAGUCCUCACUGCAGGUCUGCGCUGCCUCAGUCGGAAAUGAUGUCUUCUCUUUCCUGUUUUCUGAGCGGCUCAUUCUGCUGCCCGUCAAAUAG